AUUGAACGCUGGCGGCAGGCCUAACACAUGCAAGUCGAACGGUAACAGGAAGCAGCUUGCUGCUUUGCUGACGAGUGGCGGACGGGUGAGUAAUGUCUGGGAAACUGCCUGAUGGAGGGGGAUAACUACUGGAAACGGUAGCUAAUACCGCAUAACGUCGCAAGACCAAAGAGGGGGACCUUCGGGCCUCUUGCCAUCGGAUGUGCCCAGAUGGGAUUAGCUAGUAGGUGGGGUAACGCCUCACCUAGGCGACGAUCCCUAGCUGGUCUGAGAGGAUGACCAGCCCACCGGGAACUGAGAACCGGCCCAGACCCCAACGGGGGGCAGAGGGGGGGAAUAUUGCAAAAGGGGCGAAAGCCUGAUGCAGCCAUGCCGGGUGUAUGAAGAAGGCCUUCGGUUUUUAAAGUCUUUUCAGCGGGGAGGAAGGGAGUAAAUUUAAUACCUUUCCUCAUGGACUUUACCCGCAGAAGAAGCCCCGGCUAACCCCGU
RNAcentral lists this ribosomal RNA (489 nucleotides) under uncultured bacterium. RNAcentral describes it as "partial 16S ribosomal RNA". It matches the Rfam family "Bacterial small subunit ribosomal RNA", at positions 30 to 506 of the family's 1533-position model. The record is from RNAcentral.